This 72-nucleotide ribosomal RNA is filed under the name Amphilophus citrinellus (Midas cichlid). Lineage: Eukaryota; Metazoa; Chordata; Actinopteri; Cichliformes; Cichlidae. The record is from RNAcentral.
UUUUGUGUUCAUGCUCAGCUUUGCUUAGUACUUGUAUGGGGGACCACCUGGGAAUACCAGGUGGCACUCGGG